This 615-nucleotide ribosomal RNA is filed under the name uncultured bacterium. RNAcentral describes it as "bacterial SSU rRNA". It matches the Rfam family "Bacterial small subunit ribosomal RNA", at positions 61 to 657 of the family's 1533-position model. The record is from RNAcentral.
GUCGAGCGAGAAAGCCCCUUCGGGGGUGAGUAGAGCGGCGGACGGGUGAGUAAUGCGUGAACAACCUGCCUUUAGGACUGGGAUAACUAUGGGAAACUGUAGCUAAUACCGGAUAAGACCACGAUUUCUACGGAUUUUGAGGUAAAAGGUGGCCAGCUUUGCUGGCUAUCACCUUUAGAUGGGUUCACGUUCCAUCUGGUAGUGAGGUAACGGCUCACCAAGCCUAAGACGGAUAGUUGGCCUUAGCGGGUGGCCAACCACACGGGGACUGAGACACGGCCCCGACUCCUACGGGAGGCAGCAGUGAGGAAUAUUGGGCAAUGGGCGAAAGCCUGACCCAGCGACGUCGCGUGGGGGAUGAAGGCCUUCGGGUCGUAAACCCUUGUCAUAGGGGAAGAUGGGUAUGUGUGCUAAUACCACACAUACUUGACGGUACCCUAAAAGGAAGCCCCGGCUAACUCCGUGCCAGCAGCCGCGGUAAUACGGAGGGGGCAAGCGUUGCUCGGAAUUACUGGGCGUAAAGGGUCCGCAGGUGGUUUUGCAAGUUAGAUGUGAAAACUCAGGGCUCAACCCGGAAACUGCAUCUAAUACUACAAAACUAGAGUCUAGGAGAGG